UACGGAGGGUGCGAGCGUUGCUCGGAAUCACUGGGCGUAAAGCGUACGCAGGCGGUUCGUUAAGUCGGGUGUGAAAGCCCGGGGCUCAACCCCGGAACUGCGCCCGAGACUGACGAGCUUGAAUUCGGGAGAGGGAAGCGGAAUUCCUGGUGUAGAGGUGAAAUUCGUAGAUAUCAGGAGGAACACCAGUGGCGAAAGCGGCUUCCUGGCCCGAUAUUGACGCUCAUGUACGAAAGCGUGGGGAGCAAACAGG
This 253-nucleotide ribosomal RNA is filed under the name uncultured bacterium. RNAcentral describes it as "partial 16S ribosomal RNA". It matches the Rfam family "Bacterial small subunit ribosomal RNA", at positions 524 to 776 of the family's 1533-position model. The record is from RNAcentral.